This 302-nucleotide ribosomal RNA is filed under the name Escherichia coli. RNAcentral's name for it is "partial 16S ribosomal RNA". It matches the Rfam family "Bacterial small subunit ribosomal RNA", at positions 1 to 297 of the family's 1533-position model. The record is from RNAcentral. Lineage: Bacteria; Pseudomonadati; Pseudomonadota; Gammaproteobacteria; Enterobacterales; Enterobacteriaceae.
UUAAAUUGAAGAGUUUGAUCAUGGCUCAGAUUGAACGCUGGCGGCAGGCCUAACACAUGCAAGUCGAACGGUAACAGGAAGAAGCUUGCUUCUUUGCUGACGAGUGGCGGACGGGUGAGUAAUGUCUGGGAAACUGCCUGAUGGAGGGGGAUAACUACUGGAAACGGUAGCUAAUACCGCAUAACGUCGCAAGACCAAAGAGGGGGACCUUCGGGCCUCUUGCCAUCGGAUGUGCCCAGAUGGGAUUAGCUUGUUGGUGGGGUAACGGCUCACCAAGGCGACGAUCCCUAGCUGGUCUGAGA